AUGAUGACCAUCAUGCGAGUCAGGACUGGCCUAUUCCGGGACUCUGACUUCCGGUAUAUGCCAGCAUCACUUCCAGGAGCACAAGGUUAUCUCCAGGCUAUCUAUGCUGACUCCACUCAGGAGGAUUCAUGGACCCGCACCACUGCACAGUUGCUUGAAGACAAGGACCGUGAAAAUCGAGCCUUGAGACUAGAGCUUUUCAAUACCCGUGCUGAUCAUUGGGCCACUUUGACUCGGUUUGCACCGGCUGUGCACGCUGGAUACAUGGAUAUGCGAGAUCUCUAUCCUGUGAGAUCUGCUCUGCCAGACGUGAUGGAUUGGCGUGAUGUAGGAGGCAUCACCCCACCUCGUGGUCCCCGUAGACCACCAUUUGUUGGUCCAAGACCUCAUCCUAGCCCUUAUGGUCCACAAGCUCCACGGGACCGACUGUUUCUGGAUGAUCACGUUGAGCUUCCAGGCUAUGGAGGUGACUUCUAUGAAGACUACUAUGGAGCUGUCUGA
Molecule: ribosomal RNA, 501 nt
Filed under: Triticum aestivum (bread wheat)
Lineage: Eukaryota; Viridiplantae; Streptophyta; Magnoliopsida; Poales; Poaceae
Description: partial small subunit ribosomal RNA
Source: RNAcentral